This 429-nucleotide ribosomal RNA is filed under the name Pseudomonadota bacterium. Its description in RNAcentral is "Proteobacteria bacterium partial 16S ribosomal RNA". It matches the Rfam family "Bacterial small subunit ribosomal RNA", at positions 355 to 776 of the family's 1533-position model. Lineage: Bacteria; Pseudomonadati; Pseudomonadota. The record is from RNAcentral.
UGGGGAAUAUUGGACAAUGGGCGAAAGCCUGAUCCAGCCAUGCCGCGUGUGUGAAGAAGGUCUUCGGAUUGUAAAGCACUUUAAGUUGGGAGGAAGGGCAGUAAGCGAAUACCUUGCUGUCUUGACGUUACCGACAGAAUAAGCACCGGCUAACUCUGUGCCAGCAGCCGCGGUAAUACAGAGGGUGCAAGCGUUAAUCGGAAUUACUGGGCGUAAAGCGCGCGUAGGUGGUUCGUUAAGUUGAAUGUGAAAGCCCCGGGCUCAAACUAGGAACUGCAUCCAAAGCUGGCGAGCUAGAGUAGGGCAGAGGGUGGUGGAAUUUCCUGUGUAGCGGUGAAAUGCGUAGAUAUAGGAAGGAACACCAGUGGCGAAGGCGACGACCUGGGGUCAUGCUGACACUGCGGUGCGAAAGCGUGGGGAGCAAACAGG